UUCACCCCCCCCUCUUUUCCGUCUCCAUAAUGUCUCUCUCUGUACCCACCCACUCACGCUUCUUUCAUCCUUCUUUCUCUCAUUCCUAUUCUCUCUCUUUUUCCUCGACUUCUCCAUUUCCUAUCGUUCCAUCUUCUUCUCUUUUGGGCGGGAUAUUUCCCCCCAUUUUUUAAACGAAAAAGAGGAUAGCAGUCUCCCUAUUUCAAGAGGCUCACCUCCCUCAUUUAUCUCUCCCUUCUUCCAAGCACACCCUAAAACUGCAAGCUUCUCUUUCCACAUUUUCUCAAACCCUAACCUCAUUUUCUGCAAACCAAACCUUAAUCUUCCAUCAUCAACCCAUAAGACCUUGCAACCAUGGAUUUACUGCAUCACCAGAAGGGUAGCAACACCGAUCUUGGUGCCGACACACUCAGGGACCUAAGAUCUCUACAAAAAAAAAAAAAAAAGACGAUGCAACCACUGGUACAGCCCCAAAUCGCAUCUCAAGGAAAAACCACAAGAGAAUUGUCUCCGUUCUAGAUCUGUCAUUUAAAGGUAUAACAACAAAAUCUAUUCUAAUUGGAUGAUUUCGCGGUGAAAGGGUAGGAAGAAUAAGUGGAACUCUUGAUGUAUUUAUAACCUUCCAUGUAGCUAUUAAUAUGUGAAUGCUAAGCAGUCUAAUGCAUGACUCACUAAA
Molecule: long non-coding RNA, 676 nt
Organism: Pyrus x bretschneideri (Chinese white pear)
Lineage: Eukaryota; Viridiplantae; Streptophyta; Magnoliopsida; Rosales; Rosaceae
Exons: 2
Source: RefSeq, a predicted model, not a curated record